AUUGAACGCUGGCGGCAGGCCUAACACAUGCAAGUCGAACGGUAACAGGAAGAAGCUUGCUUCUUUGCUGACGAGUGGCGGACGGGUGAGUAAUGUCUGGGAAACUGCCUGAUGGAGGGGGAUAACUACUGGAAACGGUAGCUAAUACCGCAUAACGUCGCAAGACCAAAGAGGGGGACCUUCGGGCCUCUUGCCAUCGGAUGUGCCCAGAUGGGAUUAGCUAGUAGGUGGGGUAACGGCUCACCUAGGCGACGAUCCCUAGCUGGUCUGAGAGGAUGACCAGCCACACUGGAACUGAGACACGGUCCAGACUCCUACGGGAGGCAGCAGUGGGGAAUAUUGCACAAUGGGCGCAAGCCUGAUGCAGCCAUGCCGCGUGUAUGAAGAAGGCCUUCGGGUUGUAAAGUACUUUCAGCGGGGAGGAAGGGAGUAAAGUUAAUACCUUUGCUCAUUGACGUUACCCGCAGAAGAAGCACCGGCUAACUCCGUGCCAGCAGCCGCGGUAAUACGGAGGGUGCAAGCGUUAAUCGGAAUUACUGGGCGUAAAGCGCACGCAGGCGGUUUGUUAAGUCAGAUGUGAAAUCCCCGGGCUCAACCUGGGAACUGCAUCUGAUACUGGCAAGCUUGAGUCUCGUAGAGGGGGGUAGAAUUCCAGGUGUAGCGGUGAAAUGCGUAGAGAUCUGGAGGAAUACCGGUGGCGAAGGCGGCCCCCUG
RNAcentral lists this ribosomal RNA (714 nucleotides) under Shigella sp. RNAcentral describes it as "bacterial SSU rRNA". It matches the Rfam family "Bacterial small subunit ribosomal RNA", at positions 28 to 731 of the family's 1533-position model. The record is from RNAcentral. Lineage: Bacteria; Pseudomonadati; Pseudomonadota; Gammaproteobacteria; Enterobacterales; Enterobacteriaceae.